AUUGAACGCUGGCGGCAGGCCUAACACAUGCAAGUCGAGCGGUAACAGGGGAAGCUUGCUUCUCGCUGACGAGCGGCGGACGGGUGAGUAAUGUAUGGGGAUCUGCCCGAUAGAGGGGGAUAACCACUGGAAACGGUGGCUAAUACCGCAUAAUCUCUUAGGAGCAAAGCAGGGGAACUUCGGUCCUUGCGCUAUCGGAUGAACCCAUAUGGGAUUAGCUAGUAGGUGGGGUAAUGGCUC
This 240-nucleotide ribosomal RNA is filed under the name uncultured bacterium. RNAcentral describes it as "partial 16S ribosomal RNA". It matches the Rfam family "Bacterial small subunit ribosomal RNA", at positions 30 to 266 of the family's 1533-position model. The record is from RNAcentral.